RNAcentral lists this ribosomal RNA (257 nucleotides) under uncultured bacterium. RNAcentral's name for it is "partial 16S ribosomal RNA". It matches the Rfam family "Bacterial small subunit ribosomal RNA", at positions 524 to 776 of the family's 1533-position model. The record is from RNAcentral.
UACGAAGGGGGGCUAGCGCUGUUCGGAAUUAUUGGGCGUAAAGGGCUCGUAGGCGGUUUUGUCGCGUCGGGGAGUGAAAAACCUACAGCUUAACUGUGGGCUUGCUUUCGAUACGGGCAGACUUGAGGCAUGCAGGGGAGAACGGAAUUCCUGGUGUAGCGGUGAAAUGCGCAGAUAUCAUGAGGAAGACCAGUGGCGAAGGCGGGUCUCUGGACAGUUCCUGACACUGAGACACGAAGGCCAGGGGAGCAAACGGG